GAUGAAGAACGCAGCGAAAUGCGAUAAGUAGUGUGAAUUGCAGAAUUCAGUGAAUCAUCGAAUCUUUGAACGCACAUUGCGCCCUUUGGUAUUCCAAAGGGCAUGCCUGUUCGAGCGUCAUUUGUACCCUCAAGCUUUGCUUGGUGUUGGGCGUCUUGUCUCCAGUUCGCUGGAGACUCGCCUUAAAGUAAUUGGCAGCCGGCCUACUGGUUUCGGAGCGCAGCACAAGUCGCGCUCUCUUCCAGCCAAGGUCAGCAUCCACAAAGCCUUUUUUCAACUUUUGACCUCGGAUCAGGUAGGGAUACCCGCUGAACUUAAGCAUAUCAAUAAGCAGAGGA
Molecule: unclassified non-coding RNA, 338 nt
Filed under: soil metagenome
Description: partial contains 5.8S ribosomal RNA, internal transcribed spacer 2, and large subunit ribosomal RNA
Rfam family: 5.8S ribosomal RNA (bases 1-120)
Source: RNAcentral